GAUCUACACACAAGAGCAGUACACUACUGCAUGCCAAGUUGCCAACCCCCUAUAAAUAUCACAACUCCCCCACACUGAAAAACACAUCCAACUCAGAUCAAGAUUAAACACAAUUAAGCAAGGCACUUCAGAUCUAUACCACCGCUUGUGAAGCAUGAAGGCAGCUACAGUCCUUGUGUUGGUCCUACUGGUGAUUACAUCCUCUGCUGCUGCAGCUCCGGCGAGGAGGUUGGCGGGAGAUGAUGGGCUGCAGACAGGCGAAAUGCCGUCGGAGGUGAACGUACUCAACGGGAGGCCAGGUUCAGAUUGCUACGGUUGCCAUACCUGCCCAAUAAACAAAUAUCCCUGCAACUGAGGUUUGUAAAAGCGUAUGCUUAAAAUCUUGUCAUGGUUCAGUGGAGAAUUACCUGAGCCAAUGAAGGAUCCAGAAUUACUGCAGUGAAGGGUUUACAUAUAUACGAAUAAACAGACCGUUUGCUCUCCAAGCAAAAGGUGGUCUCGCGUCUGUUCUCGUUAAACUACGACAUACAUGAAUUAUAAUUGGCAGUUAUAUAGUGCCAGAAACAUGGAUGUGACCAGCAGAUAUAUAUAUUACCCGUGCAUCCAUAAAAGCAUGAUGUAUGAUGUAUACGAUCGGAUUGUAUAAGUAUUAUGAAUACCUUUUGAAUA
Long non-coding RNA from Hordeum vulgare subsp. vulgare (domesticated barley), 669 nucleotides. RefSeq lists it as uncharacterized. The transcript is spliced from 2 exons. The record is from RefSeq and is a predicted model, not a curated record. Lineage: Eukaryota; Viridiplantae; Streptophyta; Magnoliopsida; Poales; Poaceae.